Molecule: non-coding RNA, 1344 nt
Organism: Arachis ipaensis
Lineage: Eukaryota; Viridiplantae; Streptophyta; Magnoliopsida; Fabales; Fabaceae
Source: RefSeq, a predicted model, not a curated record
AGACAAGAUGCUUUUGCGGGAAUCUUUCUCCCAAAAAAUUUUUGAAUUUCAAAAUUAUUCUUUAAAUAUCUUUUUUGCACACAUUUUGUUUGUUUCUCCAUUCAAUUCUCAGCUCAUAGGUCACAACCGAAACAGAGAAUCGGUCCGUCUCACUCACACUCGCUCGUGAUUUUCGGAACACCAAUUUUUCGCAUACAUUUCAGUCAGUGCUGGGCAUGUUGCUCGGCAACACUGUGUCGGGUUCGGUGGUCCUGAUCGUGACGCCCUUAGUGGCACUGAUAACUGGGAUGCUAAUCUCUUCUUCUGGAAGAAAUCGUCGGAUCCGAGCAGGAACCGGUAAUACUCAAAGGAUGUUACAGCUCUUUUCUUCUAACAAGUGACAACCAACAAUGGCUUCAAUGGCAGCGUUUUCUUCUAGCACCUUCUACACCAACCUCAAGUUUUACACCAAAUCCAACAACAGCAACAGCAACUUGAACUGAAGGGAACUCAUAUUGAGAAGCAAUCAAAUAGCAACAGUUGGUGCUAUCUUCAAUUUCAAUUUCAGACUACUUUUGAAGAGAAAUCUACUUUGGCUAAGGACGAGGCUGAACUUUCAAUGUUGAAAAAAAAAAGAAGAAAGCUCACUUGAAGAUUUGCAAUAGCUAAAAGGUACUAACAUAUACAUAUUAUUACAAAAUCACAAUCUAUGCGCCAAAACUUCGAAGUUGGCCAUGAUUUUACAUACAUACAAAUACGAAUAAUAUUUUUCUUAUAAUGACUUGGAUGACUUAAUAGCAAGCACCAUCUCCUUAGGCUUCUAUUUUAGUUUCUUAUUCAUCGAUAAGCUUUCGGUAUGUAUUCAUGUGUAUUUCUAUUUGUCAAUUGUUUAUUAUGCAGUAUUGGAUACGUGUCUUAGUUGCUGAGAGUUUGAAGAGUGUUUAAGCCUAUGGUGUAAAUUAAUUACUUGCUAUAUGUGUAUAUAAUAAUGUUAUUGGUGCUAUGUUGAACAUAUUAGUAAAAUAAGAAUAUUAUAAAGUAUAAUUGGAGUCUUUUGAUAUAUGUAACAAGAAGUUGGUUCUUUUCUUUUGGAUGAACUCUUUUGUUCUUAUUUGUUGAGCACCUGACGUGAUUAACCAAUAGUUAAAAUUUAUUCUUAACAUUUUGUUAUUGGAUAAUCUAUUAUGUUUGUCUUCUAUUAACUAUAUUAUUGUUUUUUUUAUUAAUUUUAUGUCCUAUCUUAUUUUUUAAAUAUUUAAUAUAUGAUGUUUUAAUUUAUCUGUAACUAAAUUUUAAGUAUGUCUAAUUCUUUGUAAGAAAAAGAGCAGGUAAAAGUGAAGGAGAGGAUUGAGAAAUGUGUAAAAA